This 465-nucleotide ribosomal RNA is filed under the name uncultured bacterium. RNAcentral's name for it is "partial 16S ribosomal RNA". It matches the Rfam family "Bacterial small subunit ribosomal RNA", at positions 28 to 507 of the family's 1533-position model. The record is from RNAcentral.
GACGAACGCUGGCGGCGUGCUUAACACAUGCCAGUCGAGCGAGGCCCCUCCUUCGGGAGGGUGUCCUAGCGGCGAACGGGUGAGUAACACGUGGGCAACCUGCCCUCAGCUCUGGGAUAACUCCGGGAAACCGGGGCUAAUCCCGGAUACGACCUCCACGGGCAUCUGCGGAGGUGGAAAUUUUUUCGGCUGAGGAUGGGCCCGCGGCCUAUCAGCUAGUUGGUGGGGUAGUGGCCCACCAAGGCGACGACGGGUAGCCGGCCUGAGAGGGCGACCGGCCACACUGGGACUGAGACACGGCCCAGACUCCUACGGGAGGCAGCAGUGGGGAAUAUUGCGCAAUGGGCGAAAGCCUGACGCAGCGACGCCGCGUGAGGGACGAAGGCCUUCGGGUUGUAAACCUCUUUCAGCAGGGACGAAGCGAAAGUGACGGUACCUGCAGAAGAAGCACCGGCCAACUACGUG